RNA transcript from Aegilops tauschii subsp. strangulata, 3986 nucleotides. RefSeq lists it as uncharacterized. The record is from RefSeq and is a predicted model, not a curated record. NCBI's taxonomy places the organism in Eukaryota, Viridiplantae, Streptophyta, Magnoliopsida, Poales, Poaceae.
AAUCUAUCCCGGCAUCCCAUCUGAUCCUCGUCUUCUCCUCUCCGCGAAGCCAAAGCCAAACCCUAGAAAGCUACCCACCCUAGCUCUGCCGUCGCCGAGAUCUCGCAUCUCGCUCCCAUGGCGGCGCCCAAGCCCAUCUGGGUCCGCCAGGCCGAGGAGGCCAAGCUCAAGUCCGAGGCCGACACCGCCGCCGCCGCCAAGGCCGCCUUCGACGCCACCUUCAGGGCCCUCUCCGCGACCGCCCACGCCGACCAGUCCCCCCAGGCCGACCCGGAGCGCCACGACAGGCCCUCCUCCCCCGCCGAGCCCGCCUUCCGCCCCGACCCCGAAUCCGACUCCGACUCCGACGACCGCCCCCGCGCCCCUCCCGGCCCCGUCGACCCCUCCAAGUCCUCCGCCGCGGGCCCAGGCAUCGCCGGCGGCUCCGCGGGCGCGCCCGCCACCUUCACCGUCGUCGGGAAGGACCGCGACGGGCGCAGGGUCUCCGUGGGCGGCGCCCGCGUCCGCGUCCGCAUCUGCCCCGCGGCUGGCGUCGGUGGCGACGACCUAGAUGGCGGCGUCAGGGACAACGGCGACGGAUCCUACGCCGUCACCUACGCAGUCCCCAAGCGCGGCAACUACAUGGUCCACAUCGACCUCGACGGCGCUCCCAUCAUGGGGAGCCCCUUCCCUGUCUUCUUCAGCGCUGCCACCGCCGCCUCCGCCGCGGCAGCCUUCCCCACCACCUCGUCCGCUUACCCUGCCGCCUCGUCCGCGUACCCCAAUAUGCUCAACCAGACCAUGCCCAACAUGCCAAACUACGCCGGCUCCAUGCCCGGUUCCUUCCCGGGCUUGCUCGGCCUCAUCCCUGGUGCCUCCUCUGGCGCUUCUGGUGGUGUCGUCCUGCCAGGCGUUGGUUCCACGUUGGGUGAGAUAUGCCGGGAGCACAUCAAUGGGAAGUGCACCAAGGGAACGGACUGCAAGUUCAGCCACCCGCCACAGCAGCUGCUCAUGUCUGUCAUGGCUGCCACUACGUCCAUGGGUGCGCUCAGCCAUGCUCCCAUGGCGCCCUCCGCGGCAGCCAUGGCAGCUGCUCAGGCUAUCAUGGCUGCUCAGGCGCUUCAGGCACAUGCUGCUAAGAUGCAAGCUGAUUCCAAAGCUGCAGAGCAGGCUUCAUCAGGUAUGACGGAAGCCGAGAAAGCUGAGACUCUGAAGAAAAUUGUUCAGAUUAGCAACCUGAGCCCAAUUCUUACGGUGGAGACCAUUAAGCAGCUAUUUGGGUACUGUGGCAAAGUUGUUGAUUGUACUAUCACAGACUCGAAACAUAUUGCUUAUGUGGAGUAUUCCAAACCAGAAGAAGCAACCGCUGCAUUGGCCCUCAGUAACGUGGAUGUUGGUGGUCGCCCCUUGAAUGUUGAGAUGGCUAAAUCUCUUCCUCAAAAAACUAGUAUUGCAAAUAGCAAUUUACCUAUGAUGAUGCAGCAAGCUGUUCAGAUGCAACAGCUGCAAUUCCAGCAGUCACUGAUGAUGCAGACGUCAAUAGCCGCUCAGCAGGCCGCUGUACGUGCAGCCACCAUGAAAAAUGCCACUGAUGCAGCAGCUGCACGGGCUGCUGAGAUAAGCAGGAAGUUGAAAGCAGAGGGCUUUGGUGGGGAAAGUGCGGAAGAAAAGGAUGCCAAAGAGAAGUCAAGAUCGCCAUCGCCCCCUUCUCGUAAAUCCAAGUCUCGGUCAAGAUCACCUAUCAAGUACCGUCGGAGUAGGCGGGAUCGCUCUUACUCUCCGCCAGUUAGACGCUCCCGGGAUCACCGAUCACGAUCUCCGUCGAGAUCUCACCACUCAAAGUAUGGCAGUGACCGAUCAUAUAGGGAUGAUAGGGACAAAUAUAGCAGGUCUGGGAGAAGAGAGAGUGACAGGUCUCGUGAUCAUUACUCAUCUAGUUCAAGGAGGAACAGGAGCAGAAGUAUAAGCCCGAGGUCUAAGAAGCCAUCAAGAGCUGAUUCUCGGUCACCGAAGCGGCAAAGGGAAGAAAGUUUAAGCCCAUCAAAAUCAAGAAGGUCAGCUCGUGCUGGUUCAAGGUCACCACGACAUCAUAAAGGAAGCAAGUCAUCACCAACACGUGAUCAGCGUUCUUCUCGUCGUAGCAGGCAUUCAAGAUCCAGAUCUCAAGAGAGAAAGCAUCGUAACAGUGAUAAGAAGGAUGUCAAAAAAUCUGAGGUGCAGGAUGACAAAAAAAGAUCUGAUAGAGGUACUAGAGGUGGCAAAGAUGAAAGGCCUGUAAAGGACGCAGUGGAUAAGAAUGCAGAUACUUCUGUUGUUGCUCAUAAAAGGAGUUCAUCUGUAUCUGAAGAUGAAUUGCUGGAUAUUGACAAUGGCAAUCACAAGAAAUCUAGACAUGAUGCUGCUGCUGCCGUGGAGUAUGACAAGAGGAAGAAUGAAGACAGUAUUGAGGAUGUGGAUUCUCCAAGGUCAAAAUCUGAGAAGAGAAGCUUGGUAGAGGAUGGUGAUAAUAUUCAGAAACAUGACACAAGUAGGAGUACUAAGAUGAAGACAGAUGGCAAGAAGUAUGACAAAGACGAUUCUUCUCGCAAGGACAGAAAAUACAGAGAAGAUGAAUCAAGACAUUCCAGAGAUAAAAGUUCGCGUCAUUCAUCUUCACGGUCCCAUAGAAGUUCAAGGCAUUCCGGGGAUAAAUAUCAUAGGGAUGUUACUGACCAGCAUGAGUCGAAGAAAUCAGAAGAGGGCACUCGAGCUAGGAAAUACAAUUCCCUUGAUGAUCCCUUGUCUUCAGAUAAAAAGAACCUUCAUAAAGGGAGGUCUCCAGAUAGGAUGGUUAAUCAGUCGGAAGCUGGUUCAGACUCUGAUGGCUUCAAGCAUGACACUGAAGUUAGGCUGCGAAAUGCUUCAUUAGAAGGAGCUGAUCUGGUCAUCCAGGAAGACCAGCAAUUUCCUGAUGAAACUGGUACAGAUAAAUGCUCAGCAGAUGCUCUAUUGCCUGCAUCAAAGCAGAGAGCCGAGGAAGAUAUGUGCUCUACUGUGUCCGACAUUAAUGGGCAACAUGGACUUGAAGGAGAUGGCGCUUUAGGGGGCACCGAAGAGUCUGCCAUGUGAUAUUAACCACAGUGUUUACCUGCCACAUCGUUCAGUUGGCUGAUUGCAGAGUCUACUCAUACAAUGGAUGCAUUGCUGAACUGGUGUUUGUUAUCUCCUCUCUGAUUUAGGAGUUUUAUUUGCAGGAUAUGAAGAUCUUUUGGAGAGCUUCAGUGCCAACCAGAGUGUUCAUCUGAUCUAUAAAAAUGCUUGUGAAGAGUUGGAGCUGAUUCUGCGGUGUGAAUUGAAGAUUCAAGGGAGUGCGCACUUAUCCAUACUCAAGGGCUCGCUUGAGAAGGCAGUGUCUGACUGAUGUGAGGCAAUUGUUGAUAAAGUCGGAACAUUUACUCCAGGGUGUUCCCUUGAUAGUUCCAGAGAUAAGCAGCAUGCCUUCAAAUAUUAUUAUUCCUUGUCUUCUUUUUGCUCUUGCACAUGUUUGUUCGUUUCGGAAGAAGCACCUGUCCUCUGCAAAGAGUAACUUUGCUAGUUACUGCUCACCUGCUAUGACUGGUGCUGUGGUUGGAAAAACAUGUGCAGGUUUCUUGAAAGCUGGUUGCCGUUGGAACUUGGAACAUGUUUGGGAGGGGACAGGACAUGCUAACUUUAAAAGCUGCUUUGUGUGUAGAAGAGGAUGGCUACAGUACAAUGGACAUAGCAAGCUUGUUCCAGGGAUCCGGAUCUUUAUAAGUACUGUACGUGCUAGAUCAUUUUUCUAGUCUCGCCCUGUCACUGGAUGAUUGAGUAGCGUCUAGCAGUUGACAGACUGAGCCAACUAAACAGUAUUGGCGAGUCACUGAUAAUGUGGUUGCUUGGAUCUAUCGAAUGAAUCUCUUGACAUUUGGUAAUGGGUUUGGGUUUUGGGUUGAUGUAUGAAUUAUAUGGGAGGCUUAGUUCUAAGAAAUACCAGUGUUAACUGUCUA